This 503-nucleotide ribosomal RNA is filed under the name uncultured Alteromonadaceae bacterium. Its description in RNAcentral is "bacterial SSU rRNA". It matches the Rfam family "Bacterial small subunit ribosomal RNA", at positions 551 to 1050 of the family's 1533-position model. The record is from RNAcentral. Lineage: Bacteria; Pseudomonadati; Pseudomonadota; Gammaproteobacteria; Alteromonadales; Alteromonadaceae.
UUACUGGGCGUAAAGCGCACGCAGGCGGUUUGUUAAGCUAGAUGUGAAAGCCCCGGGCUACAACCUGGGAUGGUCAUUUAGAACUGGCAGACUAGAGUCUUGGAGAGGGGAGUGGAAUUCCAGGUGUAGCGGUGAAAUGCGUAGAUAUCUGGAGGAACAUCAGUGGCGAAGGCAACUCCCUGGCCAAAGACUGACGCUCAUGUGCGAAAGUGUGGGUAGCGAACAGGAUUAGAUACCCUGGUAGUCCACACCGUAAACGCUGUCUACUAGCUGUGUGUGCCUUUAAGGCGUGCGUAGCGAAGCUAACGCGCUAAGUAGACCGCCGUGGGGAGUACGGCCGCAAAGGUUAAAACUCAAAUGAAUUGACGGGGGCCCGCACAAGCGGUGGAGCAUGUGGUUUAAUUCGAAGCAACGCGCAGAACCUUACCAACCCUUGACAUCCUAGGACCACCCGAGAGAUCGGGCUUUCACUUCGGUGACCUAGUGACAGGUGCUGCAUGGCU